GAAUGCUGACAUAAGUAACGAUAAAGCGGGUGAAAAGCCCGCUCGCCGGAAGACCAAGGGUUCCUGUCCAACGUUAAUCGGGGCAGGGUGAGUCGACCCCUAAGGCGAGGCCGAAAGGCGUAGUCGAUGGGAAACAGGUUAAUAUUCCUGUACUUGGUGUUACUGCGAAGGGGGGACGGAGAAGGCUAUGUCAGCCGGGCGACGGUUGUCCCGGUUUAAGCAUGUAGGCGGAGGUUCCAGGUAAAUCCGGUACCUUAUUAACGCUGAGGUGUGAUGACGAGGCACUACGGUGCUGAAGUGAUAAAUGCCCUGCUUCCAGGAAAAGCCUCUAAGCAUCAGGUAACACGAAAUCGUACCCCAAACCGACACAGGUGGUCAGGUAGAGAAUACCAAGGCGCUUGAGAGAACUCGGGUGAAGGAACUAGGCAAAAUGGUGCCGUAACU
RNAcentral lists this ribosomal RNA (444 nucleotides) under Enterobacter hormaechei. RNAcentral describes it as "partial 23S ribosomal RNA". It matches the Rfam family "Bacterial large subunit ribosomal RNA", at positions 1292 to 1735 of the family's 2925-position model. RNAcentral also lists the same sequence under 1 other name. Lineage: Bacteria; Pseudomonadati; Pseudomonadota; Gammaproteobacteria; Enterobacterales; Enterobacteriaceae. The record is from RNAcentral.